This 297-nucleotide long non-coding RNA is filed under the name Homo sapiens (human). RNAcentral's name for it is "HSALNT0395016". Lineage: Eukaryota; Metazoa; Chordata; Mammalia; Primates; Hominidae. The record is from RNAcentral.
UCGAAGUCUGCAGACUUUCAUUUUGGAGAUAUAUUUCACUCUGAAUAGUGAAUCAGAGUGGGGUGAAACAUCUGGCUUAUAAAAUGUUUCAAACCUCAAACCACUUUAGAUACUUGGAAAUCAUCUUCUCCACACAUUUAUUAUAAAACAGGAAGAGACCCAGAAAAAAUGCCACUCUGUUUUGAAGAUGGAAAAGUUCUUCUUAAUGCCUCCUGCAUCAUUUCCAAGGGUUAUACCUGUGCUCAGCAGGAUGAGUAUGGAGAAACAGAUCUCAGUCACGUAGCCUGUUGCUGUCUA